UGUCCCCUAAUUUGGGUGGAAAAAAUGUGUGGCCUAGUGGAGGUAAGGAAAAGAUCAAAAUACCCCUCCUUAAAAUAGAUAAAAUGUCUUGACUAGAUAGCAUGUACUCUAACAGAAAUAUAUUCUUCGUCCGAACACAAAAUUUAGUAAACUCAGUGACAUUGGAAAAAGAACUCAAAGAUUUUUCAUUAGAUAUCUCAUGGACCUCCUAACCUAUCUUGUACUUAAUUUGAAAGUGACUCAAAACUCAUAAUUGAAAACUAACUUGCAAAAAAAAACUCAAAUUGGUUAUUUCUAAUUUAGUUCUUUCUAACAUUAGCUCUUUCUAAGACUGAGGUGUUACACGAUCAUGGAGAACAACUUCCAACAUGUAAUAAAAUUUCCCAAAUCGGGGUUUCUUCCUCAUUUCACCAUUUUUGAACAUUGAGAGCUCUAAGGAGGCAAUUUUAAUGAGAGUUUUGAAGAUUAGUCGACUGGGAAAUGGUUAUCAGAAUUGAUGUCUAUGUCGAUGGAAAAUGGUUCAAGUAAUGUUUACACCGAUAAUGGGACAUAAUUUCGGGGAGUGAUGAUUAUGCUGAUGGUAAAUGAUUCAAGUGAUGAUUAUUAUGCGAUGGUAAAUAAUUCUGGCGAUUGAUGGUUAUGCCGAUGAGAAAAUGGUUUCAACGGAUUCUAAUCUUAGUCAAAUGUGCAGUGCAAAUUUAUAGUAUAUUUAAUACAUAAACUUUAUCUUAUUACAAUUCAUAUUUUAUUCAUUGAUUUGUAACAGUGGAUAAAAAUAAAAAGAUGAAUAAUUUCGAUGUGAAUUUAAAGUUGAUUUAGUCGAUGCAUUGACUCUAAA
Molecule: long non-coding RNA, 838 nt
Organism: Solanum lycopersicum (tomato)
Lineage: Eukaryota; Viridiplantae; Streptophyta; Magnoliopsida; Solanales; Solanaceae
Source: RefSeq, a predicted model, not a curated record